This 495-nucleotide ribosomal RNA is filed under the name uncultured bacterium. RNAcentral's name for it is "SSU rRNA". It matches the Rfam family "Bacterial small subunit ribosomal RNA", at positions 26 to 521 of the family's 1533-position model. The record is from RNAcentral.
AGGAUAAACGCUGGCGGCGUGCCUAACACAUGCAAGUCGAACGCCCUUUUUCCUCGCAAGAGGGGGGAGGGAGUGGCGGACGGGUGAGGAACACAUGGGUGACCUACCUUUCAGUGAGGAAUACCGGCGAGAAAUCGUCGACAAGACCGCAUGAGCUUCCCUCGGUGAGCGAGGGAAGGAAAGCUCUUUUUCGUGCGAACGGAGGGGGGCGCUGGAAGAUGGGCCUGUGGCCGAUUAGCUAGUUGGUGAGGUAACGGCUCACCAAGGCGACGAUCGGUAGCUGGUCUGAGAGGACGAUCAGCCACACUGGGAUUGAGAACGGCCCAGACUCCUACGGGGGGCAGCAGUGAGGAAUUUUCCGCAAUGGGCGCAAGCCUGACGGAGCAACGCCGCGUGCAGGAAGACGGUUUUCGGAUCGUAAAGCUCUUUCGCUCGGGACGAUAAUGACGGUACCGAGAUAAGAAGCCCGGCUAACUUCGCGCCAGCAGCCGCGGU